GAUGAAGAACGUAGCGAAAUGCGAUAAGUAAUGUGAAUUGCAGAAUUCAGUGAAUCAUCGAAUCUUUGAACGCAUCUUGCGCUCCUUGGUAUUCCUUGGAGCAUGCCUGUUUGAGUAUCAUGAGCAAAUCUCAAAGUCAAUUACUUUUGUUGAUUCAAUUGGUUUUGCUUUGGACUUGGAGGCCUUGCAGAUUUCACAGUCUGCUCCUCUUAAAUGCAUUAGCUGGAUCUCAGUAAUUAUGCUUGGUUCCACUCGGCGUGAUAAGUAUCACUCGCUGAGGACACUGUUAAAAAGGUGGCCAGGAAAAUACUGAUUGAACCGCUUCUAACGGUCUAUUAAGUUAGACAAUUACCCUUAAGUUUGAUCUCAAAUCAGGUAGGACUACCCGCUGAACUUAAGCAUAUCAAUAAGCGGAGGA
RNAcentral lists this unclassified non-coding RNA (418 nucleotides) under soil metagenome. Its description in RNAcentral is "partial contains 5.8S ribosomal RNA, internal transcribed spacer 2, and large subunit ribosomal RNA". The stretch from base 1 to 120 matches the Rfam family "5.8S ribosomal RNA", at positions 35 to 154 of the family's 154-position model. The record is from RNAcentral.